Molecule: ribosomal RNA, 465 nt
Filed under: uncultured bacterium
Lineage: Bacteria
Description: partial 16S ribosomal RNA
Rfam family: Bacterial small subunit ribosomal RNA
Source: RNAcentral
GACGAACGCUGGCGGCGUGCUUAACACAUGCAAGUCGUACGGUAAGGCCCUUCCGGGGGUACACGAGUGGCGAACGGGCGAGUAACACGUGAGUAACCUACCCACACCUUUCUGAUAACGCAAGGAAACUGGUGCUAAUACUUGAUAUGUGCUCCUGCUGCAUGGUGGGGGGUGGAAAGCUCGGGCGGUUGUGGAUGGACUCGCGGCCUAUCAGCUUGUUGGUGGGGUAGUGGCCUACCAAGGGGGCGGCGGGUAGCCGGCCUGGGAGGGUGACCGGCCACCUUUGGGCUGAGAUACGGCCCAGACUCCUACGGGGGGGAGCAGUGGGGGAUAUUGCACCAUGGGCGCGAGCCUGAUGCCGGCACGCCGCGUGCGGGAUGACGGCCUUCCGGUUGUAAACCGCUUUCCGCAGGGACGGAGCUUUUUGUGACGGUACCUGGAGAAGAAGCACCGGCUAACUACGUG